RNAcentral lists this long non-coding RNA (3396 nucleotides) under Salmo salar (Atlantic salmon). RNAcentral describes it as "lncRNA (ENSSSAG00000097306.1)". Lineage: Eukaryota; Metazoa; Chordata; Actinopteri; Salmoniformes; Salmonidae. The record is from RNAcentral.
GUGGCCACUAUAGUAGACGUCGAUCACGUGCACAAGGCUACAUGUGUGCAAAAUAACGUUCACCGAGGAAAAAAAUUAAAUAAUCACCUCACUCACGUGUUACUGUCAAGUUCAACACAACAAAAACAAUAUAUUUGGGCUACACUGCACAUUAUUACAUCGUACACGUUCUGCCUGUGGACAUCUAUUCUACAAUGUGCCAGCAGAGCACGAUACCCUUUGUUGGCAUAAUUGAUCUCUUUCUGGCAGAGAGUACACCUGGCAUACCCCUUUUAAUCCUCUGUAUUGAAAAAGUGAGAAGGAAGGAAAGUGUGUGGUGUUCCUUCCAACUCUAUGGCGGCUUCCAGCUUAAGCCAGGCCCAGCUCCAGCUACACUUGAUCCCUGAAUCCACUUGUUUAACAAGCAACGCCUCAUUUUCACCUAAUUCUCUUAUUCUGAAAUUAACCACAUACUGUAGAGGGAAAACAUUAGUUCACCGAUAGUACUCUAGUUAGUUUGUUAACUUGUUAACAUUUCACACAGAUUGCCAGGGUCCAGUAAGCAACUAACGUGUCAUAACUUGAGGAACGGCAAGGAGUCGUAUACCAGUUAAUACUAUAGAGAAUGGUUAGGUUACUAAAGUUAGCUCAUCUGAUGUUGUAACGUUAGCUGUUAGCUAAUUUUCACACCAUAAACUCAAUUAUUUGAUCAGUUAAAUUGGCUAAUGUUGCUCAACAUUUCUCUGGCUAGCUAACGGAGAAUUCUACCCAGCUACUGUAGCAAGAUACUUAACAAUGCUAACAAUACUUGUUCCACCACACUUUCUCCCUCACCUCAAACUUUCCAAAUGCCAGUUGUUUUUCGGUUACAGCUCAUGAAGUACCCUUCCUCACUCCUGUCUCCGUGGUCAGGCUUCUCACCUACCUCUUCGUUAUCGUUCAGGGGACGCGCUGCUGUAGCUGGUAAACUGCCAUGCCAUUCCACUCUCCGCUCUUUCAACGCGUGCUGAUGCUGUCUCGUUCGCAUACUGCCAGUAGUGAUACAAAGACCCCCUCCCGCCUAAACUUUUCUCAUCGUAUCUACACGAAUCACGUAGGUCACCUAUUUUGGAAUCAAAACGGCGAACUUCGCUGAAAGGUGACUAGUUUGUAUCCCUGAUGAUUACAUGACCCAUCAAGUUAGCCAGGUGUGUCUGAGGGUGAUUAAGGCCAUCUAUUGUAUUUCAUGAACAUAUGUACAUGUCUAGAUGUAACCGAUGUGAAAUGGCUAGAUAGUUAGCGGUGGUGCGCGCUAAUAGCGUUUCAAUCGGUGACGUCACUCGCUCUUAGACCUGAAGUAGUUGUUCCCCUUGCACUGCAAGGGCUGCGGCUUUUGUGGCGCGAUGGGUAACGAUGCUUCGUGGGUGACUGUUGUUGAUGUGCGCAGAGGGUCCCCGGUUCAAGCCCAGGUUGGGGCGAGGAGAGGGACGGAAGCUAUACUGUUACAUUGGUGCCGUGACCCGGAUCAUUGGUUGCUGCGGAAAAAGGAGGAGGUCAAAAGGGGGGUGAGUGUAACCGAUGUGAAAUGGCUAGCUAGUUAGCGGUGGUGCGCGCUAAUAGCGUUUCAAUCGGUGACGUCACUCGCUCUGAGACCUGAAGUAGUUGUUCCCCUUGCACUGCAAGGGCCGUGGCUUUUGUGGCACGAUGCUUCGUGGGUCUGUUGUUGAUGUGCGCAGAGGGUCCCUGGUUCAAGCCCAGGUUGGGGCGAGGAGAGGAACGGAACCUAUACUGUUACAUAGAGACCAUUUCCUUCACAUGACCCAUACAUUUAGACAAGUGUGUCUGGGUAAGAAUCAUCUAAUAAUAAUAAAAUAUUUAUAAAAUAUUUUUAUCUGGACACUUUCUGUUUUUGAUUCUGAAUGGGUGUAGACGCACAAGAGUUCUCCAGUAGCUCUUCUGUGGGGUUACAAGUUCAUCAACUUUUAAAGCAGAAUUUCUUUGAAUUACAUUGUUCCUCAACUGCAGUGCAUGAUAUACCAUUUUCUAGUUCUGGGUCUCUACUUUUAUCGAAUGUAAAAAACACAAUUUCUAAUUGAAUGGAGGCAUCCGGUCACAUAUGCAUUCACCUGAAUUGUUUAUAGUCCUAGACUACAACUUGAUUUACCCAGUUUAUCAAUAGAGAUGUACCAUUCAAAUAAUUGAUUACCAUUAUGUUGUCAUGGUGUUAGAUUGGUAAAAAAUAAAGUCAAAUUGAUUGUAUAAUUGCUUCAUUAACGUAGACAGUGCCGUCUGAAAGUACUCAGUCCCCUUGACUGUUUCUACAUUUUGCUUCCUUAGAGCUUCAUUCUAAAAUAAAUUAAUACAUUAAUAUUCCUCAACAAUCUACACACAAUACCCCAUAAUGACAAAGCGAAAACAUGUUUUUAAAUGUGUCUUCCGCAUUAAAUUCAACCCCUCUGCAGAAAGACAGAUUUUUACCUUGUCAACUCGUGGAUUUGAUCCAGCAAUCUUUCGGUUAACGCUACUGGCCCAACGCUCCUAUCCGCCUGGGUACUACAGUCGUGCCAGUAUCUAACUUGCUAACCAAUAACAUUUAACAUGAACUAGCUAGCUUUGACAAUUACAUUGUAUUUAUUACCUACAUAAUAUUAACUAAACACAUACGUUUCCAAAACAAUUAUUCUUACCUCGGUCAGUCGGUGGUAGUUGGUGGCAACUGGCAAGCUAAAGCUAACGUUAGCUGUUUUAGCUAACAUUAACGUCAAUUUCACUGAACCUUUGGGUGCUACAACGUUGCCAGCUCGAUGAAAGCUCUUGCUUGCAAGCAGUUCUGAACAAUUUAUUUUCUUCCUCUGUCACCCCAGGUGGAAAUAUAUUUAAAAAUCAAUGUUAUGAAUAUGUAAUUAAAUCAUAUGCAAUUUUCCAUGAGAAAGCGUUUGAUAAUGACCGCUCUUCUCCUUCGUCAGAUGUAGUUUUUUUGAAUUGUAACGGUCGCUGUGUCAGUUGGACUCGGCAGGCAGGCCCCUAUGGAGCGAGAUAGCUGCCAAAAGGUUGAAUGUACUUAUCGUUAGGAUUGUAAUAAAAUCCAUAGGUAAAUUGUUAGGAUCAUAAGAAAAGCCAUGUGAAACGUGAAAUGUAAACUUUAAAUUAGAUCUGUAAAUGUACUAUAUUACGACUACGAAUUAACAUUUACACAUAGAUUUUUUUGUUGUUGUUCAUUUACAUUUUGGGGGUAUAUAUAUAUAGAGAGAGAUUUUUCUUACUUUACGUCUCCCUUUACUCGGUUACAGAACUUUUUUAUACCUACAAACCUUUGUCAGUAAUGUGGCAUCUGCAGUGGACAUGAACCAAACGUAGCUAGUUGGAGUUAGCUACUCAAUCAAGCAACUCUAGCCCAGAUAUUAGAGUAACUUUGCAGCUUCUGGAUGAAUUUCCAAA